This 428-nucleotide ribosomal RNA is filed under the name uncultured prokaryote. RNAcentral describes it as "bacterial SSU rRNA". It matches the Rfam family "Bacterial small subunit ribosomal RNA", at positions 355 to 774 of the family's 1533-position model. The record is from RNAcentral.
UGGGGAAUAUUGGGCAAUGGGCGAAAGCCUGACCCAGCGACGCCGCGUGGGCGAUGAAGGCCUUCGGGUUGUAAAGCCCUUUCGUGUGGAAAGAACAGCCUCACGACUAAUACUCGUGAGGUUUGACGGUCCCACAGGAAGAAGCACCGGCUAACUCCGUGCCAGCAGCCGCGGUAAUACGGAGGGUGCAAGCGUUGUUAGGAAUUAUUGGGCGUAAAGGGCGCGUAGGCGGUUGUGUUAGUCAGAUGUGAAAUCCUUCGGCUUAACUGAAGAACUGCAUUUGAUACGGCGCAACUAGAGUACAGGAGAGGGAAACGGAAUGCCCGGUGUAGAGGUGAAAGUCGUAGAUAUCGGGAGGAACACCAGUGGCGAAGGCGGUUUCCUGGCCUGAUACUGACGCUGAGGCGCGAAAGCGUGGGGAGCAAACA